GCAGCAUGAUCUAGCUUGCUAGAUUGAUGGCGAGUGGCGAACGGGUGAGUAAUACAUCGGAACGUGCCCUGUAGUGGGGGAUAACUAGUCGAAAGAUUAGCUAAUACCGCAUACGACCUGAGGGUGAAAGUGGGGGACCGCAAGGCCUCAUGCUAUAGGAGCGGCCGAUGUCUGAUUAGCUAGUUGGUGGGGUAAAGGCCCACCAAGGCGACGAUCAGUAGCUGGUCUGAGAGGACGAUCAGCCACACUGGGACUGAGACACGGCCCAGACUCCUACGGGAGGCAGCAGUGGGGAAUUUUGGACAAUGGGGGCAACCCUGAUCCAGCAAUGCCGCGUGUGUGAAGAAGGCCUUCGGGUUGUAAAGCACUUUUGUCCGGAAAGAAAUCGCACUUACUAAUAUUAGGUGUGGAUGACGGUACCGGAAGAAUAAGGACCGGCUAACUACGUGCCAGCAGCCGCGGUAAUACGUAGGGUCCAAGCGUUAAUCGGAAUUACUGGGCGUAAAGCGUGCGCAGGCGGUUGUGCAAGACCGAUGUGAAAUCCCCGGGCUUAACCUGGGAAUUGCAUUGGUGACUGCACGGCUAGAGUGUGUCAGAGGGGGGUAGAAUUCCACGUGUAGCAGUGAAAUGCGUAGAGAUGUGGAGGAAUACCGAUGGCGAAGGCAGCCCCCUGGGAUAACACUGACGCUCAUGCACGAAAGCGUGGGGAGCAAACAGGAUUAGAUACCCUGGUAGUCCACGCCCUAAACGAUGUCAACUAGUUGUUGGGGAUUCAUUUCCUUAGUAACGUAGCUAACGCGUGAAGUUGACCGCCUGGGGAGUACGGUCGCAAGAUUAAAACUCAAAGGAAUUGACGGGGACCCGCACAAGCGGUGGAUGAUGUGGAUUAAUUCGAUGCAACGCGAAAAAACCUUACCUACCCUUGACAUGCCACUAACGAAGCAGAGAUGCAUUAAGGUGCUCGAAAGAGAAAGUGGA
This 978-nucleotide ribosomal RNA is filed under the name uncultured Ralstonia sp. Its description in RNAcentral is "bacterial SSU rRNA". It matches the Rfam family "Bacterial small subunit ribosomal RNA", at positions 66 to 1032 of the family's 1533-position model. The record is from RNAcentral. Lineage: Bacteria; Pseudomonadati; Pseudomonadota; Betaproteobacteria; Burkholderiales; Burkholderiaceae.